RNAcentral lists this ribosomal RNA (440 nucleotides) under uncultured bacterium. RNAcentral describes it as "partial 16S ribosomal RNA". It matches the Rfam family "Bacterial small subunit ribosomal RNA", at positions 338 to 795 of the family's 1533-position model. The record is from RNAcentral.
CCUACGGGAGGCUGCAGUGGGGAAUAUUGCACAAUGGGGGAAACCCUGAUGCAGCGACGCCGCGUGAAGGAAGAAGUAUUUCGGUAUGUAAACUUCUAUCAGCAGGGAAGAAAAUGACGUUACCUGACUAAGACGCCCCGGCUAACUACGUGCCAGCAGCCGCGGUAAUACGUAGGGGGCAAGCGUUAUCCGGAUUUACUGGGUGUAAAGGGAGCGUAUGCGGUUUAGCAAGUCAGAAGUGACAGCCCGGGGCUCAACUCCGGGACUGCUUUUGAAACUGUUGAACUAGAGUGCAGGAGAGGUAAGCGGAAUUCCUAGUGUAGCGGUGAAAUGCGUAGAUAUUAGGAGGAACACCAGUGGCGAAGGCGGCUUACUGGACUGUAAAUGACGCUGAGGCUCGAAAGCGUGGGGAGCAAACAGGAUUAGAUACCCGUGUAGUC